UACGGGGGGGGCAAGCGUUGUUCGGAAUUACUGGGCGUAAAGGGCUCGUAGGCGGCCAACUAAGUCAGACGUGAAAUCCCUCGGCUUAACCGGGGAACUGCGUCUGAUACUGGAUGGCUUGAGUGUGGGAGAGGGGUGCGGAAUUCCAGGUGUAGCGGUGAAAUGCGUAGAUAUCUGGAGGAACACCGGUGGCGAAGGCGGCAUCCUGGACCACGACUGACGCUGAGGAGCGAAAGCCAGGGGAGCAAACGGG
This 253-nucleotide ribosomal RNA is filed under the name uncultured bacterium. RNAcentral describes it as "partial 16S ribosomal RNA". It matches the Rfam family "Bacterial small subunit ribosomal RNA", at positions 524 to 776 of the family's 1533-position model. The record is from RNAcentral.